RNAcentral lists this ribosomal RNA (253 nucleotides) under uncultured bacterium. RNAcentral's name for it is "partial 16S ribosomal RNA". It matches the Rfam family "Bacterial small subunit ribosomal RNA", at positions 524 to 776 of the family's 1533-position model. The record is from RNAcentral.
UACGUAGGGUGCAAGCGUUAAUCGGAAUUACUGGGCGUAAAGCGUGCGCAGGCGGUUGUGCAAGACAGAUGUGAAAUCCCCGGGCUCAACCUGGGAACUGCAUUUGUGACUGCAUAGCUAGAGUACGGUAGAGGGGGAUGGAAUUCCGCGUGUAGCAGUGAAAUGCGUAGAUAUGCGGAGGAACACCGAUGGCGAAGGCAAUCCCCUGGACCUGUACUGACGCUCAUGCACGAAAGCGUGGGGAGCAAACAGG